Molecule: transfer RNA, 84 nt
Filed under: Candidatus Dormiibacterota bacterium
Lineage: Bacteria; Bacillati; Candidatus Dormiibacterota
Description: tRNA-Thr
Source: RNAcentral
GGCCAGCGAACUCAGCAACCGCUCUGAUGAUGCGCAACACGACUCGUAAUCGUGUUGUCGGUGGUUCGAACCCACCCGCCGCCA